CCCUAACAGCUAGCCCAAACAACGUCAAUAAAUCAACAUUUUACCCCUUGAUAUAUUACAUAUAAAACAAAUCAUUUUAUUUCCCUAGUAUUGGUGAUAAAAAAGGACCGGAGCUAUAGAGAAAGUACCGCAAGGGAAAGCUGAAAGAAAAUGAAACAACCCAGUAAAGCCUAGAAAAGCAGAGAUUUUACCUUGUACCUUUUGCAUCAUGAUUUAGCCAGAAAAGGGGAUUGCGCUGUUAUCCCUAGAGUAACUCGGUUCGUUGAUCGGCGUUGCCGGAUCCAAUUGGUCAAAAAUUUUGUUACUUAGAGCUGUCGCUCUGGGUUGUAAAAUGGGUUUUCCUAGUCCACAUGGGGGUUGUUUGUUUCCCCGCGGUCGCCCCAACCAAAGACAUUCGGACAGGGGUUACUAUGUUUAUACCUUUAUAAGGGUUGUUUAACAUAAUCUGUCUUGGCGUCUAAAGCUUCAUAGGGUCUUCUCGUCUUAUGAGUGUAUCCCCGCUUCUGCACGGGGAGAUCAAUUUCAUUGACUGGAAAGAGGAGACAGUAGAGCCCUCGUCGUGCCAUUCAUACAGGUCCCCAUUUAAAGGACAAGUGAUUGCGCUACCUUUGCACGGUUAAAAUACCGCGGCCGUUGAACACUGGUCACUGGGCAGGCAGGACCUCUUAUACAAGAGGCGAUGUUUUUGGUAAACAGGCGAGGCUAUUUGCCGAGUUCCUUCUCUUUCUUUUAGUCUUUCC
Molecule: ribosomal RNA, 740 nt
Filed under: Serranus cabrilla (comber)
Lineage: Eukaryota; Metazoa; Chordata; Actinopteri; Perciformes; Serranidae
Description: partial 16S ribosomal RNA
Source: RNAcentral